This 804-nucleotide ribosomal RNA is filed under the name uncultured marine bacterium. RNAcentral's name for it is "bacterial SSU rRNA". It matches the Rfam family "Bacterial small subunit ribosomal RNA", at positions 56 to 857 of the family's 1533-position model. The record is from RNAcentral.
UGCAAGUCGAGGGAGAAGUUUAAUGCUUGCAUUAAACAGAAACCGGCGCACGGGUGCGUAACACGUAUGCAACCUACCUUUAACUGGGGUAUAGCUUGAAGAAAUUCAAAUUAAUCCCCCAUAACAUAUUGAAAUCGCAUGAUUACAAUAUCAAAGCUCCGGCGGUUAAAGAUGGGCAUGCGUCCCAUUAGUUAGUUGGUGAGGUAACGGCUCACCAAGACCGCGAUGGGUAGCGGGUUUGAGAGGAUGAUCCGCCACACUGGUACUGAGACACGGACCAGACUCCUACGGGAGGCAGCAGUAGGGAAUAUUGGGCAAUGGACGAAAGUCUGACCCAGCCAUGCCGCGUGCAGGAAGACAGCCCUAUGGGUCGUAAACUGCUUUUAUAUAGGAAGAAACCCCUUGUUUCUACAAGGGCUGACGGUACUAUACGAAUAAGGAUCGGCUAACUCCGUGCCAGCAGCCGCGGUAAUACGGAGGAUCCAAGCGUUGUCCGGAUUUAUUGGGUUUAAAGGGUGCGUAGGCGGGACAAUAAGUCAGUGGUGAAAGCCUGCAGCUUAACUGUAGAAAUGCCAUUGAAACUGUUUGUUCUUGAGUCCGGUUGAGGUUGAUGGAAUAUAUCAUGUAGCGGUGAAAUGCUUAGAUAUGAUAUAGAACACCAAUUGCGAGGGCAGUCAACUAAACCGGUACUGACGCUGAGGCACGAAAGCGUGGGGAGCGAACAGGAUUAGAUACCCUGGUAGUCCACGCUGUAAACGAUGUUCACUCGCUGUUGGCGAUACACUGUCAGCGGCCAAGCGAAAG